Molecule: ribosomal RNA, 1064 nt
Filed under: Craspedocephalus puniceus
Lineage: Eukaryota; Metazoa; Chordata; Lepidosauria; Squamata; Viperidae
Description: partial 16S ribosomal RNA
Rfam family: Bacterial large subunit ribosomal RNA
Source: RNAcentral
AUGAGCUAUUUUUAAGCAGUCUAAUGGACGCACCCUUCUAUGUAGCAAAAUAUGUGGGAAGACUUAAAAAUAGAGGUGAAACGCCUAUCGAAUUUGGAGAUAGCUGGCUACCCCAAAUAGAAUCUAAGUUCUACUUUAGAACAAGAUUUAACUAAUUAACCUUCUAAAGAUAGUCAAUAGAGGUACAGCUCUACUGACCCAGGAUACAACCUGAAUUUGCAAGAAACUACCUCUUUUAACACAACCCGUAGGCCCUCAAGCAGCCAUCAUAAAAAAUAUCGUCAAAGAAUUAACCUAAAUAAACCCAACACCCACUAAAAACUUCAAAUUAACUAAAGGUGGACCUACAUAAGUAGGUAUCAUUAUGCUAAAACUAAUAAUAAGACUACAUCUCUUUUACGCACCUCUCCGCUAGAAAUAGAAAAACUACUAGCAAUUAACAGACCAUAAAAGGCAACAAACAACCCUAUACACACCUUUAAAACCAACUGUGACCCCAACACUGGAGCGUCAAAAAGAAAGAUUAACUGUUAUAAAAGGAACUCGGCAAUCAAAGGCUCCAACUGUUUAACAAAAACAUAACCUUUAGCCAAACAAGUAUUAAAGGCGACGCCUGCCCAGUGAAUAAUUAAACGGCCGCGGUACCCUAACCGUGCAAAGGUAGCAUAAUCAUUUGUCUAUUAAUUGUAGACCUGUAUGAAAGGCAAAAUGAGAGCCCAACUGUCUCUUAUAACAAAUCAAUUAAACUGAUCUCCUAGUACAAAAGCUAGAAUAUUCACAUAAGACCAGAAGACCCUGUGAAGCUUUAACAAACCCAUUAAACCAAAUAAUGAUUACUUUCGGUUGGGGCGACCUUGGAAUAAAAAAGAACUUCCAACAUAUGACUCACUCAUAAAAUAAGGCAAACAAGCCAAUACUAGAUCCAGCAUAGCUGAUAAUUGAAAUAAGUUACUCCAGGGAUAACAGCGCCAUCUUCUUUAAGAGCCCAUAUCAAAAAGAAGGUUUACGACCUCGAUGUUGGAUCAGGACAUCCCAGUAAUGCAACAGUUACUAAAGGUUCGUUU